This is a small nucleolar RNA of Meriones unguiculatus (Mongolian gerbil), 144 nucleotides long. The record is from Ensembl. NCBI's taxonomy places the organism in Eukaryota, Metazoa, Chordata, Mammalia, Rodentia, Muridae.
ACCCCCUAACAACGGGAAAAGAAACACUUUGUUGGUGGUAUUGUUCUUACAUCAGCCAGGGGCAAAACAGAUAGCACGCCUUUGUUCAUCCUAGCUUGAUGCCUGGCUUCUUGGUCAAACCUGUUUCAUGCCUAGGACACAAAA